CGUAGCUCAGCUGGUAGAGCAGCGGUUUCGUAAACCGCAGGUCACGGGUUCGAAUCCCGUCGUCG
This 65-nucleotide transfer RNA is filed under the name Verrucomicrobia bacterium 13_1_20CM_3_54_17. Its description in RNAcentral is "tRNA-Thr". It matches the Rfam family "tRNA", at positions 6 to 65 of the family's 71-position model. From Rfam's summary of the family: Transfer RNA (tRNA) molecules are approximately 80 nucleotides in length. Their secondary structure includes four short double-helical elements and three loops (D, anti-codon, and T loops). Lineage: Bacteria; Pseudomonadati; Verrucomicrobiota. The record is from RNAcentral.